UACGAAGGGUGCAAGCGUUACUCGGAAUUACUGGGCGUAAAGCGUGCGUAGGUGGUUCGUUAAGUCUGAUGUGAAAGCCCUGGGCUCAACCUGGGAAUGGCAUUGGAAACUGGCGACCUAGAGUGCGGUAGAGGGUAGUGGAAUUCCCGGUGUAGCAGUGAAAUGCGUAGAGAUCGGGAGGAACAUCCGUGGCGAAGGCGACUACCUGGGCCAGCACUGACACUGAGGCACGAAAGCGUGGGGAGCAAACAGG
Molecule: ribosomal RNA, 253 nt
Filed under: uncultured bacterium
Lineage: Bacteria
Description: partial 16S ribosomal RNA
Rfam family: Bacterial small subunit ribosomal RNA
Source: RNAcentral